AGGCCCUACGGGGCGCAGCAGGCGCGAAAACUUUACAAUGCGGGAAACCGUGAUAAGGGGACACCGAGUGCCAGCAUCAUAUGCUGGCUGUCCAGAUGUGUAAAAUACAUCUGUUAGCAAGGGCCGGGCAAGACCGGUGCCAGCCGCCGCGGUAACACCGGCGGCCCGAGUGGUGAUCGUGAUUAUUGGGUCUAAAGGGUCCGUAGCCGGUUUGGUCAGUCCUCCGGGAAAUCUGAUGGCUCAACCAUUAGGCUUUCGGGGGAUACUGCCAGGCUUGGAACCGGGAGAGGUAAGAGGUACUACAGGGGUAGGAGUGAAAUCUUGUAAUCCCUGUGAGACCACCUGUGGCGAAGGCGUCUUACCAGAACGGGUUCGACGGUGAGGGACGAAAGCUGGGGGCACGAACCGGAUUAGAUACCCGGGUAGUCCCAGCCGUAAACGAUGCUCGCUAGGUGUCAGGCAUGGCGCGACCGUGUCUGGUGCCGCAGGGAAGCCGUGAAGCGAGCCACCUGGGAAGUACGGCCGCAAGGCUGAAGCUUAAAGGAAUUGGCGGGGGAGCACAACAACGGGUGGAGCCUGCGGUUUAAUUGGACUCAACGCCGGACAACUCACCGGGGACGACAGCAAUAUGUAGGCCAG
Molecule: ribosomal RNA, 639 nt
Filed under: uncultured archaeon
Lineage: Archaea
Description: bacterial SSU rRNA
Rfam family: Archaeal small subunit ribosomal RNA
Source: RNAcentral